GGGCGCUUAGCUCAGGAGGAAGAGGGUAUGCCUUACAAGCACAAUGUCGGCGGUUCGAUCCCGUCUGCGCCCACCA
Molecule: transfer RNA, 76 nt
Filed under: Acinetobacter baumannii
Lineage: Bacteria; Pseudomonadati; Pseudomonadota; Gammaproteobacteria; Moraxellales; Moraxellaceae
Description: tRNA-Val
Rfam family: tRNA
About the family: Transfer RNA (tRNA) molecules are approximately 80 nucleotides in length.
Source: RNAcentral